Molecule: ribosomal RNA, 492 nt
Filed under: uncultured bacterium
Lineage: Bacteria
Description: partial 16S ribosomal RNA
Rfam family: Bacterial small subunit ribosomal RNA
Source: RNAcentral
AGUGAACGCUGGCGGUAGGCCUAACACAUGCAAGUCGAACGGCAGCACAGUAAGAGCUUGCUCUUACGGGUGGCGAGUGGCGGACGGGUGAGGAAUACAUCGGAAUCUACUUUUUCGUGGGGGAUAACGUAGGGAAACUUACGCUAAUACCGCAUACGACCUACGGGUGAAAGCAGGGGAUCUUCGGACCUUGCGCGAUUGAAUGAGCCGAUGUCGGAUUAGCUAGUUGGCGGGGUAAAGGCCCACCAAGGCGACGAUCCGUAGCUGGUCUGAGAGGAUGAUCAGCCACACUGGAACUGAGACACGGUCCAGACGCCUACGGGAGGCAGCAGUGGGGAAUAUUGGACAAUGGGCGCAAGCCUGAUCCAGCCAUACCGCGUGGGUGAAGAAGGACUUCGGGUUGUAAAGCCGUUUUGUUGGGAAAGAAAAGCAGCAGGUUAAUACCCCGCUGUUCUGACGGUACACAAAGAAUAAGCACCGGAUAACUUCGUG